AUGGCUUGUGGAUGAGCGGUGGAUUAUUGUUGGGUUGGUGCUCAGUCGUCCUUGUGACUUCGGGGGUAAUUCCAUACCGGGCCCGCUGUACCACAUACCCACAGCAAUGCGCUUCUGUGUUGUGCACUUGUCAGGCGUUAUGCAGUGCUUUAUGAGACGUA
RNAcentral lists this ribosomal RNA (161 nucleotides) under Philophthalmus sp. ABT-2014. Its description in RNAcentral is "partial 28S ribosomal RNA". Lineage: Eukaryota; Metazoa; Platyhelminthes; Trematoda; Plagiorchiida; Philophthalmidae. The record is from RNAcentral.